Molecule: ribosomal RNA, 402 nt
Filed under: uncultured bacterium
Lineage: Bacteria
Description: bacterial SSU rRNA
Rfam family: Bacterial small subunit ribosomal RNA
Source: RNAcentral
UGGGGAAUAUUGCACAAUGGGCGAAAGCCUGAUGCAGCAACGCCGCGUGAGUGAUGAAGGCCUUCGGGUUGUAAAGCUCUGUCUUCUGGGACGAUAAUGACGGUACCAGAGGAGGAAGCCACGGCUAACUACGUGCCAGCAGCCGCGGUAAUACGUAGGUGGCAAGCGUUGUCCGGAUUUACUGGGCGUAAAGGAUGCGUAGGCGGAUACUUAAGUCAGAUGUGAAAAUCCCGGGCUUAACUUGGGAACUGCAUUUGAAACUGGGUAUCUAGAGUGCGGGAGAGGAAAGUGGAAUUCCUAGUGUAGCGGUGAAAUGCGUAGAGAUUAGGAAGAACACCAGUGGCGAAGGCGACUUACUGGACUGUAACUGACGCUGAGUCACGAAAGCGUGGGUAGCAAACA